UUCUGGGAGCAUUGACCGAUUAAGAGCUCUUUCUUGAUUCGGUGCAUGGUGAUACAUGUCUGUUCUUAGUUGAUGGAGCGACUUGUCUGGUUAAUUCU
This 98-nucleotide non-coding RNA is filed under the name Ixodes scapularis (black-legged tick). Its description in RNAcentral is "Eukaryotic small subunit ribosomal RNA". It matches the Rfam family "Eukaryotic small subunit ribosomal RNA", at positions 1229 to 1326 of the family's 1831-position model. The record is from Rfam by way of RNAcentral. Lineage: Eukaryota; Metazoa; Arthropoda; Arachnida; Ixodida; Ixodidae.